UACGUAGGGUGCAAGCGUUAAUCGGAAUUACUGGGCGUAAAGCGUGCGCAGGCGGUGAUGUAAGACAGAUGUGAAAUCCCCGGGCUCAACCUGGGAACUGCAUUUGUGACUGCAUCGCUAGAGUACGGCAGAGGGGGAUGGAAUUCCGCGUGUAGCAGUGAAAUGCGUAGAUAUGCGGAGGAACACCGAUGGCGAAGGCAAUCCCCUGGGCCUGUACUGACGCUGAGGUGCGAAAGCGUGGGGAGCAAACAGG
Molecule: ribosomal RNA, 253 nt
Filed under: uncultured bacterium
Lineage: Bacteria
Description: partial 16S ribosomal RNA
Rfam family: Bacterial small subunit ribosomal RNA
Source: RNAcentral